RNAcentral lists this microRNA precursor (92 nucleotides) under Canis lupus familiaris (dog). RNAcentral's name for it is "mir-8799 microRNA precursor family". It matches the Rfam family "mir-8799 microRNA precursor family". Lineage: Eukaryota; Metazoa; Chordata; Mammalia; Carnivora; Canidae. The record is from Rfam by way of RNAcentral. RNAcentral also lists the same sequence under 1 other name.
AGGGGGGCCCGGGAUCCUGGGCUGUGUCCCGGGCGCCCUGGCUCCAGGGCCUUCGCUGCAGGAAUCGCGCUCCCGGGACCACGCAGCCCCCU